AGCGAACGCUGGCGGCAGGCCUAACACAUGCAAGUCGAGCGGCCGUAGCAAUACGGCAGCGGCAGACGGGAGAGUAACACGUGGGAACGUGCCCUUUGGUUCGGAACAACACAGGGAAACUUGUGCUAAUACCGGAUAAGCCCUUACGGGGAAAGAUUUAUCGCCAAAGGAUCGGCCCGCGUCUGAUUAGCUAGUUGGUGGGGUAACGGCCCACCAAGGCGACGAUCAGUAGCUGGUCUGAGAGGAUGAUCAGCCUCACUGGGACUGAGA
This 270-nucleotide ribosomal RNA is filed under the name uncultured bacterium. Its description in RNAcentral is "partial 16S ribosomal RNA". It matches the Rfam family "Bacterial small subunit ribosomal RNA", at positions 29 to 324 of the family's 1533-position model. The record is from RNAcentral.